GCGGUAUGCUUAACACAUGCAAGUCGAACGAACUCUUCGGAGUUAGUGGCGGACGGGUGAGUAACGCGUGAGAAUCUAGCUUCAGGUCUGGGACAACCACUGGAAACGGUGGCUAAUACCGGAUGUGCCGAGAGGUGAAAGGCUUGCUGCCUGAAGAUGAGCUCGCGUCCGAUUAGCUAGUAGGUGGGGUAAGAGCCUACCUAGGCGACGAUCGGUAGCUGGUCUGAGAGGAUGACCAGCCACACUGGGACUGAGACACGGCCCAGACUCCUACGGGAGGCAGCAGUGGGGAAUUUUCCGCAAUGGGCGAAAGCCUGACGGAGCAAUACCGCGUGAGGGAGGAAGGCUCUUGGGUUGUAAACCUCUUUUCUCAGGGAAGAACACAAUCGACGGUACCUGAGGAAUCAGCAUCGGCUAACUCCGUGCCAGCAGCCGCGGUAAUACGGAGGAUGCAAGCGUUAUCCGGAAUGAUUGGGCGUAAAGCGUCCGCAGGUGGCUGUGUAAGUCUGCUGUCAAAGAGCGAAGCUCAACUUCGUAAAGGCAGUGGAAACUACACGGCUAGAGUGCGUUCGGGGCAGAGGGAAUUCCUGGUGUAGCGGUGAAAUGCGUAGAGAUCAGGAAGAACACCGGUGGCGAAGGCGCUCUGCUAGGCCGCAACUGACACUGAGGGACGAAAGCUAGGGGAGCGAAUGGGAUUAGAUAC
This 703-nucleotide ribosomal RNA is filed under the name Nostoc sp. 74.2. Its description in RNAcentral is "bacterial SSU rRNA". It matches the Rfam family "Bacterial small subunit ribosomal RNA", at positions 39 to 785 of the family's 1533-position model. The record is from RNAcentral. Lineage: Bacteria; Bacillati; Cyanobacteriota; Cyanophyceae; Nostocales; Nostocaceae.